RNAcentral lists this long non-coding RNA (22804 nucleotides) under Trifolium pratense (red clover). RNAcentral's name for it is "long non-coding RNA (TPRA_LNC012008)". Lineage: Eukaryota; Viridiplantae; Streptophyta; Magnoliopsida; Fabales; Fabaceae. The record is from RNAcentral.
GCCCUUGAAUGGUGAUCUUUGAACCUUUGAAAUGAUGCCCCAAGUUGCGAGCAUCCAUCAAUUUUCAAAGUGAGCAGUUUUGGAAGCAGUAAGAAGCUACUCGAUAGAUCUUUGACCCCUUUACAUUGUGACAUGUCUAUAUAUUGAAGCCCCGUAAGGUUACCAAUAGACUUUGGAAANNNNNNNNNNNNNNNNNNNNNNCCUUACCAGUUUACGACAUUUAUCAAGUGUAAACAUUCUUAAGUUUUUAGCUCCAGACAGAUCAGGAAUUUGAGUUAUGGAUUGACUAUGCGAGAGAUUGAUGAAUGUUAAAUCCUCAAAAAUCUGCAAAAUAAACUAUAGUUUAAAUGACAGGAGCAUAGUCAAAUUUGAUUGUUACCACAUAUUAAAAUAAAUACAUAAAUUUGAAGCAACUGCAUAUACCUGGAACGGCUUUUUCAAUAACAUAGAGCAAUGAGGUAACUUGAAGUCAACAAUUCUAUAUGGAUAAAAAUCUGGUGGGAAAUUCUUUGAUGGGAAGCACUUCCAAUCGAGUAGACGCAAACUAUUUGGAAGAUAAGUAGGUCCUGAUAAAAAUAAUGUAUUCCUAACAAUCAAAAUUCUGAGGUUUUUCAUCUUCUCAAAGGCAGUAUGAGCCCACUGAUCUACUUUUUCUUGUUUUGGGGGAUGAAGCUUUAUUCCUUCAACUGUAGAACUUCCCUAUAGAAGAUGAAAAAUAUAGAAUUGAGACUAAACAUAUUUGCAAAGUUCAAAAACAGUUAUCGUAUGAAAAAAAAAUGAUUCAUACCAUGUUUCCUUUUAGUACAUCAAGAACAUCUUUAUGAGACCAUAAUCGGCUGCGUUCACCAGGGUUUGAUGCUGAUUCCUUUCGAACAAUCUCUCUACCCAUGUCUUGUAUUAGAUCAUGCAUUUCUAAACAACCAUUUUCAUCAACAGUUAUGAGACAUUUGCUAACAAAUACUCGUAUAAUUGGGUAGAAAUCACAAGCAUCUAGUACCCUUUUAACAUAAUCCCAUCUUUCCCCUUUGAAAAAGCAAGCCAUGUCAAGAAAAACUUUUUGGUCCAAGUCAGAUAGGCUUUUGUAGCUUAUUUCCAGUACACCUUGAAUCUCAACAUCUGGAACCUUUUUAUAUUUCUGCAGUUCAAUAACCCACUCCUCUAUGCUCUUACCUUUCAAAUUUGAUCCUAUUACUUUUAAAGCCAAUGGUAUACCCUUUGCAUAAUUUAUUGCACGAGAAGAGAUAUUUCCAAAGUUUUCUGCAGGUUUGCUCAUAUUAAAGGCAUACCUACAAAAGAGUUCAAUGGAUUCAUGAUAAUUUAACUCUUCGAGUUUAUAUGUUUUCACAUCAUGCUUAUGUAGAACAUCUGCAUCUCUUGUUGUUAUGAUGAUUCUGCUACCAGAACCAAACCAAUCAUGUCCUCCAGCUAAUGUUUCCAAUUGUUUUACUGAAUCAACAUCAUCUAGUACCAGAAGAACUCUUUUGUGGGAUAGUCUGCGUUUUAUUUCCGAGCAUCCUCUAAAUGUGCUUCCCAUCAUGGUUUGUGUCUCCACACCCAUUUCAGACAGAAGUGUCCUUUGGAGAUCUCCCAGGCCACUAGUGCUUGCAUUUGAUUUUUCUCUUACAUUAGCAAGAAAACUUCCAGCUUCAAAUCGAUGUCUGAUCUUGUUAUAUAUAUCCAUGGCAAAUGUGGUUUUGCCUAUUCCACCACCUCCACAAAUUCCCAACAUGCAAACAGAAUCAUCAGAAUUGAAAUCAAUGAGAGACUUCACUUGUUCGAAACGAGAAUCAAGUCCAACUAAGUGUUUGAUUUGUAAAGGCAUGGGAGGUAGUUUAGCUGAGAUGUCUCUGACAAUCUUAUCAAUAAACUCUGAUUCAUAGCUGCAUAGAAAUACAAUAUGAAGAAUGAGAAAUUAAAAGAGAGUGGGGGGAAAAAUUUUACUGUGUAAUAGAUUGCUCAGCUAAAACAAAAAAGAAUAUGCCACAAGUGCUUCCACUGUCCACAGUGCAAUAGAUUGCUGACAUGGCAUGUGAACCAGUGUCCACGCAUGCAUGGUCUUGGUCAAAACUUGUGGGGGGUCAACCUUUUGCAAAAAGGGCUCAAGUUAGGAGGCCAUAAAUGCUAUUAUGAAAGUUAGGAGGACAAAAUCGCAAAUUUAUGAAAGUUAAAGGCCAAAAGUACAAUUUAACCAAUCUUGUAAUACUAAAAAAUCCACCAAACAUAAUAAAUGCAAUUUAACAUAUCAAAAAUGUUAAAUACAACUAAAUUUCAACUAAAUACACACUCCCUCUGAUCUUAAAUAUAAACAAAAGUCAAAACGUAUUUGGCUUAAAUUUAAACUAAAUACGUUUUGACCGAGUAUUAAUUUACAAAUUUGAUGCAAGGCUUGAAAUGGCCUAGUGGUUAGGAUUGUGAAUAGGACAUGCAUGUAUUGAGUUCAAGAGUAAUGCUAUGGUCAAAACUAAUCGACCAGAUCUUUAUUCAUGCUUUAUUUAACGGUCAAAUUUAGUAAUUAAUUAUUAAUAUUAAUAUUUUUUUGGUCAAGUAGCCUAAGGUGGCAUGAAAUUUCAUUUUAAGGUGAAUAAGUGGAGUAUCCGAAUUUAAACACAACUCAUGCAUCAACGGAGCUAAGUUUACGGAGAGGGGAGACUAUCUCUAUUCAUGUUAAAUAAUAAUAUUAAAAUUUAAAAUUAAAUAAUAAAGAAGCAUUUGGGAAACUUACAUAUCAUCUUUGUAAUGAAUUCCACUAAGAGCACAAACUCUAUUCAAAGCCAAUCUCCAUGCUUUAACCUUCUUCGAUUCACUUCCAAAUCUGUUCUCAUGUUCAACCAUAGCAAUUUCAUAACUAUUUCUCUGAUGUCUAACAUCUGAAGGUUCAACCUUAUAAAAUAUAACAAAAACCGAUUUUCCAUUCUUUUCAUAACAGUCAACAAUCUUAACAAGUUCAUCAAGGCACCAACUAGAAGAAGCGUAGUCUUUACAGAGAACAACAAUUGAGAUUCUAGAAGCUUCGAUUGCUUGUAGAAGUGAAGGACCGAUUUCGUCUCCGAUUUUGAGGUUNNNNNNCUGAAAACGUUGAUUCCGUGUCGGAGAAGAGAACGGAAGAGAUGAUCGGUGAAGGAGUAGCGUGUUCCGCCUCUGAAACUUAGAAAAACGUCGUGUGCGAAUUCAUUGUGAUUCGCCAUUGAUGAUUAUGAUGAUGAUAAUGAUAAUGAUAAUGAUAAUGAUAAUGAUAAUGGAGUUGAGUUUGUGGUUUGUGUGUGAGUGUGAUUGUAAAAUCGUUGAGUUUUAAAUGAAGCUUGGAGCUAUAUUAAAAAAAUAAUAAAAAAAAAAAAGCUUGGAGCUUCAAAAGUCAAGAGAACGCGGGAUUGGAUGACCAUGGACUUCCUUUUCUUUAUUUUCGAUCAUUGACUUUUAAAAUGGCGUAUAAUAAACUAUGAACUCAAUCUCCGAUUAAGAUAUUUGUCUCUCACUCACUGUAAAUAUUUUUAAAAGAAUCUUUGUUAAAUUUAACUCAUAUUAAUGCUUCAAAGUAUAUUUAUUAAGGACUAACUUUGAUCGAGAUGAGACAUGAAUCACUUGAUACUACAACUGACUCCCAAAAUAAAUUAAGCUGUUGGUGAAAACAAAAAAUAUAAAGAAUAAAUAAACUAAAAUAUUCAACUCAAGUGGAUAAUAAAUUUUCUCUAGAACGAAUUAUUCGAAAAAAUUUGAAUUCGAUAUUUGAUGAAAACAAUUUUUGACUAGGUUUUCUAAUCUCGCAACUGAACUCUGAACCAUUGUGGCCCCUUUCCCCGGAACAAGAGGGCUUACGCCAAAAAAAAACAAACUGAGAAUAAGUAAAUAAACUUAAUUAAGAAACAAAGUAUAGCACAACUUGAAACAAUAUUUGGUCUCAAGUGGUUAAAGAACUUUACUAAAAAAACGAAUCGUUCGGAAGAAUCCAAGUUCGAUUCAUAGAUUAAUUUCUUGUUCAGACUUUACUUACUUUGUGACUGAACUCCAAAUUACUAUGGUCAUUUUCCCUUAGAAUUGGUGGGUUAACGCAAAAAAAAAAAAAGUAUAUAUAGUAAAUUAUAAAAUAUAGAAACUUAAUUGAUAGUAACUAUUUAAAUUUAAGAAUCAACUUGACAUUUUAAUAGAACUAGUAUAAUAUAUGCACGGGUCGCAGCGUUGCCGCGAUUAUUAAUGUUAUUACAUUAUUUAAUUUUAAUUUAUAAUGUAAAUUAUAAUAGGUCGAAUAUUGUAUAGUGCGAAAAUAGUCCCGUUAAAAAUUUACUCGUCACUGCAAAAUUGUUGUCAUGUGUAUGAUAGUUAUAGUUGUAAUAUUUAUCAGUAAGAACUUGUUCAUAUAUAAAAAUAUAGUUCCACGUAUAAAUUAUAAAAAAAAAAAUAGGCACGCAUAUUAAUAUAUGAGUAGAAAUAUAGGUCCCCAUAAAAAUUAUACAAAAAAAAAGGACACGAGUAUUAAUAUAUGAGUAGAAAUAUAAGUCCCCUAUAGAAAUUAUCAAAAAAAAAAUGGCAUUUGUAUUUAUAUAUAAGUAAAAAUAUAGGUCACCGUAAAAAUUAUAAAUAAAAUAAAAUAAGCAUGUGCAUCAAUAUAUGAAAAGAAAUAUUGGUCUUUGUAAUUGUUAUGAAAUUAUAAAAAAAAAUAGGCACACAUAUUAAUAUAUGAGUAUAAAUAUAGGUCCCACGUAAAAAUUAUACAAAAGAAGACACACACAUAUUAAUAUAUGAGCAGAAAUAUAUGUUCUCUAUAUAAAUUAUUAGAAGAAAAAAACACAGGCAUUUUUAUUUAUAUAUAAGUAGAAAUGUAGGUCACCGUAAAAAUAAAAAAAAAAAUAAACAUUAAUAUAUGAGAAGAAAUAUUGGUCUUUGUAACCGUUAUGAAAAAAGUAGGCACACACAUUUAUUACUAUCGUAGCCUUUCUAGAAGUAACCUCCAACCAAAAACCGUAACUUUGGACGGGACGUGAUUCCUCUGUAGCUUUGGAUACCACUCAAUUAUUUUUAAAAUAAUCAUUCAAAAAAUAUAAAAAAAAAUUAAUUAAAAAAUAUAAAUUAAUUAAUAUAAUAAUAAUAAUAAUAAUAAUAAUAAUAAUAAUAAUAAUAAUAAUAAUAAUAAUAAUAAUAAUAAUAAUAAUAAUAAUAAUAAUAAAGAAGACAUAUCCCGUAUACUUGGUUUCCGACAUGUUUUAGGAAUAUGUAUAUAUCUUGGUCUACCGUCUAUAAUAGGAAGGAGUAAGAAAACAAUAUUCUCUUACAUCAAGGAUCAUAUUUGGAAGAAAAUGAAUUCUUGGAGGGGGAGAGCAUUGUUUAAGGCCGGUAAGGAUGUUAUAAUAAAAUCUGUGCUUCAAGCCAUCCCAUCAUAUGUUAUGAGUAUGUUUAUCCUUCAUUCCUCACUCAUUGACGAUAUUGAGAAAAUGUUGAAUGUCUUUUGGUGGGGAGGCGGAGGUAACAACAAUAAAGGGAUCCACUGGUUAGCUUGAGACAGACUUGCAUGCCCUAAGGCGAAGGGUGGUUUAGGCUUUCGUAAUUUUGAAGCGUUCAAUAUGACUAUGGUGGCAAAACAAGUAUGGAACAUCAUUCAAAAUCCAGACUCGUUGGCGGCUAAACUAGUUAAAGCAAGGUAUUUCCCGCGCUCAUCGUUACUCGAAGCAUCUUUGGAGUAUAAUCAUAGCUUUGCGUGGCGUAGUAUUUGGAAGGCUAGACAAUUCUUUNNNNNNNNNNNNNNNNNNNNNNNNNNNNNNNNNNNNNNNNNGAAAGGAUGAUCGCUAGGUGUCCUCACCUAAAGUGGAAGAUGUGUAUCAUUUAGUUGUUAAAGACUUGUUACUUGAGAAUUAUAAAGUGUGGGAUAUAGUUAAGAUUCGUAACUUGUUUACAGGCCGGGUAGUGGAAGAGAUUAUUGCAACCCUUCUUAUUAGUUCGGUUAAAGAGGAUAACGUGGUUUGUGAGGAGGAAAGGAAUGAAUGUUAUUCAGUUAAAUAUGGUUACAAUCUAGCCAUGAGAUGUAUUGUUCGAAGCUAUAGGCACCAUGUAGAGGGUAAUUGGAAUGAUAUUUGGAAAGCUUAAUAUCCUCACAAAACGCGUCACUUACUUUGGAGGUUGUGUAGCGGGUGUCUGCCGACGCGGGUUCGUUUGACACAACAUUAUGUAGAAUGUGAAUAAACUGUCCUGUGUGCAAUGUUGAGGUAGAAUAUGACAUUCAUGUGUUUUUUGGAUGCGUAGCAACCUGCGAAUGUUGGUCGGUCACAUGCCUGUUACAGUUGCUGCAUAAUGCAGCAUACCAGCAUGAGACAGUCGCAGACAUGGUGUUUCGAAUGUGCAGAAAUGAGGACAGUGCAACGAUAGGACGGGUUACAUCGUUAUUUUGGUGCAUUUGACAUAAUUGAAACGACAAGAUCUGGAAUGAAAAUAUUCAGUCCCCGAGCCAAGUUGGAAGCAUGUCGUUCGUCGUCUCAAAUGAGUGGUUUACCGUCCACCAACUGCAGCGUCAUAACGUUGUUCCUGUUGAGGAUCCUAGGCCGGUUCGGUGGGAGAAACCAGGAGUGAGAUGAAUAAAAUGUAAUGUUGAAGCUGCGUUUGUAGUUGGGUCCGCUGUUACUUCUAUGGGUCUUUGCUUUCGUGAUACCAAUGAGCAUUUUUUGGCUAGCUUGACUCAAUGACAACAACCUUUUUAUUCCAUAGUGGAAGGCGAAACAUGUGCACUAUUACAUACUAUGAAAAAGACUAUCCAUCGUGGAUUUUAGCGAGUUCAAUUUGAAAGUGAUUCAAAGUUGUUGGUUGACGCUAUCCAUUCGAGAAGACAAGACAAUUCAGAAUUUAGUUUAAUUAUUAACGACAAUAUUCUUCUUAUGUCAUCUUCUUAUGUGAACUUUGAGGUUAAGUUUGUUAGGAGACAAACGAAUUUGGUUGCUCAUACUCUUGCUAGGGUGGCCAAUGUUUGAGCUAAUUUUCAUAUAUUUGAAAUUAUUCUCUUUAUGUAUUGAACAUUUAUUAGUUAAUGAUAUCAAUUAAGUUUGUUUGGUUCAAAAAAAAUAAAAUAAAGAAUAAAGUAAUAAAACAAAUUUGUAAAAAAAUAAAAAUAAAGGUUAAAACUUCGUAUCAAAACAUGUCAUUUUCGAGUUGGGAUCCUCUCCGUUUUCUAUUGUUUCUAUUUCUUCCAUUACCAAAGUUUUUAAAUGUNNNNNNNNNNNNNNNNNNNNNNNNNNNNNNNNNNNNNNNNNNNNNNNNNNNNNNNNNNNNNNNNNNNNNNNNNNNNNNNNNNNNNNNNNNNNNNNNNNNNNNNNNNNNNNNNNNNNNNNNNNNNNNNNNNNNNNNNNNNNNNNNNNNNNNNNNNNNNNNNNNNNNNNNNNNNNNNNNNNNNNNNNNNNNNNNNNNNNNNNNNNNNNNNNNNNNNNNNNNNNNNNNNNNNNNNNNNNNNNNNNNNNNNNNNNNNNNNNNNNNNNNNNNNNNNNNNNNNNNNNNNNNNNNNNNNNNNNNNNNNNNNNNNNNNNNNNNNNNNNNNNNNNNNNNNNNNNNNNNNNNNNNNNNNNNNNNNNNNNNNNNNNNNNNNNNNNNNNNNNNNNNNNNNNNNNNNNNNNNNNNNNNNNNNNNNNNNNNNNNNNNNNNNNNNNNNNNNNNNNNNNNNNNNNNNNNNNNNNNNNNNNNNNNNNNNNNNNNNNNNNNNNNNNNNNNNNNNNNNNNNNNNNNNNNNNNNNNNNNNNNNNNNNNNNNNNNNNNNNNNNNNNNNNNNNNNNNNNNNNNNNNNNNNNNNNNNNNNNNNNNNNNNNNNNNNNNNNNNNNNNNNNNNNNNNNNNNNNNNNNNNNNNNNNNNNNNNNNNNNNNNNNNNNNNNNNNNNNNNNAGUUUAAUUGUUAACGACAUUAUUCUUCUUAUAUCAUCUUCUUAUGUGAACUUUGAGGUUAAGUUUGUUAGGAGACAAACGAAUUUGGUUGCUCAUACUCUUGCUAGGGCGACCAAUGUUUGGGCUAGUUUUCAUAGAUUUAAGAUUAUUCUCUUAUGUAUGUAUUGAACAUUUAUUAGUUAAUGAUAUGAAUUAAGUUUGUUUAGUUCAAAAAAAAAAUUAAGUAAAAAAAAAAUUUGUAAAAAAAAUAAAAAAAAAUAAAGGUUAAAACUUCGUAUCAAAACAUGUCAUUUUCGGGUUGAGAUCCUCUCUAUUUUCUAUUGUUUCCAUUUCUUCUAUUACCAAAAUUUUUAAAUAUUUUUAAAUGUAUAAAUAAUAUUUAGACUCACUUAAUAUUACAUUUUUACAUUUAUAUUCCCAAAAUUAUAUUAUAAUAGAGGAAAUAGAAAGAAUCGAAAACAAAGUUCGAUACUUUUCUAUGAACUAAUAACGUAUUUAAUCAAGUCGUAAAUAAAAAGAGUCGUUAGCCUUCUCCUUACUUCUUUAAGCUUUUUCAGUUGACUCACCCAUGUCUUCUUCUUCUUCUUCUUCCAUAAGCUCUUCUUCAAGAAGCCACAAAUCUGAUGUGUUUUUGAGUUACCAUGACAAAGACGCCUGUAUAUCUUUUGCAUCGGAUCUCUAUUCAGCUCUCACACAGGCUGGAUUUGUUGUUUACAUCAACCAUAACAAUCUUACAAGCGGAGAUCAGACAAAUUUCUCAGCAAUCGAAGCUUCUAGAACUUCUAUCAUCAUUUUCUCAAGUAAUUUUGACGCUUCAAAAUGGUUUCUGGAAGAACUGGAGCAGAUAUUGGAGUGUGGUAGAACCAUAGGGCAGGUGAUUCUGCCUGUGUUCUAUGUUGUAGAUCCCUCGGAUGUACGUCGUCAGAUUGGAGAUUUUGGAAAAGAUUUUGAAGAUCUUAUUGGACAAAGGAUCUUGACGAACAAUGAGUCAAUGCGUUAUAAGGAAGCGCUCAUUGAAGCUUCUAGCAUUUCUGGAUUUCUCGUGAUGAGUUCCAGGUAAUGAUUUUUUUUUUUUUCAUGUUAGUUUCUGUUUUACAUGAAAUUGAAGUGCAUAGGAGGGAUAGUUGUGAAUUUCUGGGAGAUGCGAACCUAUGAUGCUAAGAAAUUAAAAUAAUAAAGACUCAAUUUGGCCUCACAAUCUAUUUGUCGCAAACAUAGUAUCGAAAUUAGUAUAUGAGAGUAGAGAAUGUGACUUUUAUUAAAGGGUCAUGUUAACAUGUUAAUGUUAAAGUAUCUAAAAUUAGAAAUUUGCAUUUAAUAAUGCAAAAGGAUUUAAUGUUUGAAAAGUAUAAUGCACAAAUUUCAAGAUAAUAUUACUACAUUUGCAUCCUUAACAUGUUCCUUAAGGAUGUUAACAUUUUCCUUUAUUUAACUGUCAAGUAUUGAUGAUUUAUUUGAAAGUCGUGAAAGUAGUAGUGAUUAGAGGCAUAAUUUUUACUUCUUACCCUCUAAUCAUGACUAGAAUAAAAAGGCAUAAUUUUUUCUUCUCUAAAGAAAGGCAUAAUAAUAGACAUGUAAUUAGUUGUUAGUUGCUUAAUAGACUGUUAUUUCCUAAUUACUAGUUAAUUGCUUUUUACUCUCUAAUAAGAAAUGUAAUUAGUUGUUAGUUUGUUAAUAUCUUAAUAUAAUCACCAUUUUAUUUAUUCAACCAAAUACUAAAGUUACAUUUCUGUCAACUUUCUCUCCUCCUUCUGAGUCAUAUAAUAAAAAUACACGGACACAAUAGUAACCAUCUAUUUUAUUGUGUUCCUAAUUUUGCACUAAACACUGUAUGCUUGCAUGUGGAAGAAUAAUUUAUUACUUGUAUCGAUAUGUGACAUGAUACUUGUCAUUUCUAUGCAAAGAUUCUAUUUGGCUCACAUAGAAUAAAAGUAUAAUGAUCUAUGGUUGAUGGUGUUUGUACAUCACAUUGUUUUCUUUGUAAGAAACUAAUGGAGAACACUUCAUUGUCCAUAUUCAAUGCAUCCUUUUAAAGUAGUUGAGAUUUUGCACAUAGAUGCCAUUAAUAUUUGUUCACUAAAAUCAUAUGACGGAGGGUGUUUUUGUUGCGGCUUAUGCAUCUUAUCUUGGGCUCAUAUUUUAUAGGGACAAAAGUGAAGUUAUUAAUGACAUAGUGCAACAUUUGACUCAUUUGAUAGAAGACAAAUUAUUUUCCGUUGCUACACACCCAGUGGGAAUAGAACCUCGGAUGCAAGAUGUUAUUCAACUAUUGAGCAAUGAACAACCAGAAAAAACCAUAAUCAUAGGGAUAUGGGGGAUAAAUGGGGUUGGCAAAACAACAAUUGCAAAAGCCACUUAUAAUCAAAUGGGUUGCAGUUUUGAGGGCAAGAGCUUCCUCCUAAAUGUUAAUGAAAUUUGGGAGCAGAGUAAUGGCCAAGUUUCUUUACAGCAACAACUUCUUUCAGACAUCUACAAAACAACAAAUAUACAAAUAGAUAACAUUGAUACAGGAAAAAUGGUAUUACGUGAAAGGCUUUGCCGUAAGAAGAUAUUUCUUGUACUUGACAAUGUGAAUAAAUUGGAACAGUUGAAUGUUUUGUGUGGUAGUCGUGAAUGGUUUGGUCAUGGAAGUAGAAUAAUUAUCACAACAAGUGAUAAACAUAUACUGUGUAGCUUUCAAGUUGACCAUGUAUAUAGAAUGAAAUGUAUGGACACUACUGAAUCUCUCGAGCUUUUUAGUUGGCACACAUUCAAAAUUCCGAGUCCUAUAGAAAGUUACGCUGACCUUUGUAGAGAUGUUGUUGAGUACUGUGGGGGAUUGCCACAAGCUCUUGAAGAAAUUGGGUCUUUUUUGUUUGGUAAAUCUUUAGCGGAGUCAAAGUUUUUGCUGGAGAAACUCAAAACCAAUCCCAACGAUAUGAUAAUCAGAAAGCUAAGAACAAAUUUUGAUGAUUUACAUGUUUAUGACAAAAAAAUCUUCCUUGAUUUAGCUACCCUAUUUAUUGAGAUGGACAAAGAUGAUUUAAUUCAGACAUUAAAUUACUUUGUGCGUUUCCCGGAAGAUGGAAUAACAAUCCUCGAAGAUAAAUGCCUUGUAACUAUAGAUAGCAAUAACAGGAUUGGAAUGCAUACUUUGGUACGAGCAAUGGGAAAAGAAAUCAUAAGGCAACAGGGUAUGGCUGAGGUGAGUCAAAAGUUAGUAUCGAAGUUGAUAUCAGUUGCAUGAAAAGUUUAUAGCUAUGGUAUCUUUAGUAAUUUGGUUUUUAUUUCAGACAAAGAUGUACGAUGUAUUCUUGAGUUUCAAAGGGGAAGACAGUCGAGCAAAAUUCAUUUCACAUCUCUAUUCCUCUCUUCAAAAUGCUGGGAUUUAUGUUUUCAAAGACGAUGAUGGUAUUCAACGAGGAGAUCGGAUCUCAGUUUCAUUGUUGCAAGCAAUCAAUCAGUCUAGAAUUUCCAUUGUUGUUUUGUCUAGAAAUUUUGCUAAUUCAAAAUGGUGUAUGAUGGAGUUGGAGAGAAUUGUGGAAAUAAGUAGAACCAAGGAUAUGGUGGUUGUGCCUGUGUUCUAUGAGGUAGAUCCCUCAGAAGUACGUCAUCAGACAGGAGAGUUUGGAAAAGCUUUUGAAUGUCUUAUAUCAGCCAUAUCAGUGGAUGAAUACACAAAGAGGAACUGGAAAACAGCUCUCAAUGAAGUUGGUGGAAGAGCAGGGGUUGUCAUCAUAAAUUCAAGGUAAUUUGAUGACUAAUUAAUUUAUUUAUAUUUUAUAGUAUUGUUAGAUUAUGAUGCUUUGGCUUUUUUCCCUUUUAAUUAUUGCUGUAAAUAUAGUUCUCUGUGUAUAAUAUUUUUACCGAAUAGGUGUUCCUACUUCCUAAUCCAUUUGGUUUUUCUUAUAGUCUAAUUAUACAUCACAAGAUUAAAUUAUCAUAAAGUAAUAUUUUGAUACUGUGCAAUAUGGUAAAAAUAUAAUUUUAAUUGACUCCAUUAUUUGAUAUAUAGUACUAUCUCUCAUCCUUAAUACAAGAUAUUUUUGAAGAUUUGUUUGGUCCUAUUUAUAAGAAAAAGUUGCAACUGUUAAGAUGUAUUUAUUGUUUGAAAGACUUUUUCCCUCUAUUUUAAAAUAUUUGUGUUUUUAAUGUCUCACAAUAUUCCAUGAGGGUAUAUUUGGAAAAAUAUUCAAAAAGUUACAAUUAAUAAUUCCAUUGGUUUUUGAUGUUUUUUUGGUUUUUCUUCUUAUAAUAAGGACUAGAGAGAUCAUUGUCAAAAAAAAAAAGGACUAGAGAGAGUAUUAUAACUUAUAACUACCUGGUAGUUGUUCACAUGAUCGUUUGUAUUUUUUUUUUUUGACACAUGAAAGUUUGUAUUGGGACCCGUGCUUUCCUUUCUUCGAGUUUCUUUAUUUUUACUCUCUUUUGUCAGACAAUGUGUUAAAGUCCCAUUAGUAAACCCAUAUUUGAAAAUUUGAAGCGAACGGACAAUGUAGUACCUCAAUUUAAAUAUACUUAGUUCACAAUCUUAAUCAUUAAUUUUUUUAAUCAAUCAUCAGUUAUGGUUACACGUUAUUCUCUAAAUUGCACUCUCUCACUUUAGAGGAGUCUAAAUUUGUUUUGCGCUCAACUGCUCAGAAAAGUAUUUCACUUGCACCUGGUAAAACCAAUUACAUAGUUUCAUUCACUUUUAUCAUGAUAUAUUUCAAAACAUUUUGCGGUAACAAUUCAGAUUUCAUUGGAUUGCAUAUGCUAUUUAUCUUGACUGGGAUGAAAAAUCAUCAUUUGGCUGAAAAUGAUCACACAAGACAAAAAGAAAAAGUACAUGUUGUACAAUGCUUAUAUAACUGUUUGUUUAUGCACUUACUCGGGCACAUAUUCUAUAGGAAUGAAAGUGAGGAUAUCAAGAAAAUAGUUAAACUUGUUACUCAUUUGCUAGACAAGACAGAAUUAUUUGUUGCUGACCAUCCAGUAGGAGUAGAAUCACGUGUACAAGACGUUAUUCAAUUACUGAACAGCCAAAAAUCAAAAGUUCCUCUAAUGCUAGGGAUAUGGGGCAUGGGAGGGAUCGGAAAAACAACCAUUGCUAAAGCCGUUUAUAAUAAAAUUCGUCAUGAUUUUGAGGCAAAGAGUUUCCUAUUGAAUGUCAGGGAAGUUUGGAAUCUCGAUAAUGACAAAGUUUCUCUACAGCAACGACUUCUUACUGACAUCUACAAAACUACAAAGAUAAAGAUAGAUACAGUUGAAUCAGGAAAGAUUAUAUUACAGGAAAGACUUUGUGAGAAAAGGAUAUUUCUUGUAAUCGAUGAUGUGAGUAAUGUGGAUCAAUUGAAUGCUUUGUGUGGAAAUCGAAAAUGGUUUGCUGAGGGAAGUAGAAUAAUCAUCACAACAAGAGAUGAUGAUUUACUUAGUAGGCUUGAAGUUGACCAAAUAUACAGAAUGAAGGAAAUGGAUGACAGUGAAUCUCUCGAGCUUUUCAAUUGGCAUGCAUUCAAGCAACCAAUUUCUGGAGAAGGUUUUACUAACCUUUCUAGAGAUGUUGUUAAGUACUCUCGAGGACUGCCGCUAGCUCUUCAAGUCAUUGGGUCCUUUUUGUUGACUAGGAGAAGGGAAGCGGAGUGGAAGAGUGUACUGGGGAAACUCAAAAUGAUUCCCAAUGAUGAAGUGUCAGAGAAGCUCAGAAUAAGUUUUGAUGGUUUAAGUGAUGAUGAUGUGAAAGAUAUAUUCCUUGAUAUUGCUUUUUUCUUUAUUGGUAUGGAUCGGGAAGACGUAACUGAGAUAUUAAAAGACUGUGGGCAUUUUCCAGAAAUUGGAAUAAGCAUUCUGGUACAACAAAGCCUUGUAACUGUUGAUAGGAAAAACAAGAUUGGAAUGCACGAUUUGCUACGAGAUAUGGGAAGAGAGAUUGUCCGCAAGAAAUCUAAAGAGAGGGGCAAGGAGCCUAGUAGAAUAUGGCGUUUUGAGGAUGUGCAUGAGUUGUCAAAAGAUACUGUAAGAUCUCCAUGUAUAGUUUUAUUUUUUUUAUAUUGCUUGUGUUGUGUUUUGCCUUUGAGCACUGUAUGAGGUACCACAAAGACAGAAAUAUCUCAGCACCGAGUACAAAUUAUACGAGUGGUUUUAUAUUAUAUCUCUAACAUCUGAUCUUUAAUGUAGAAGGACGCAAAAUGAAAAUGGUUAUUGAUAAAUCUAAUGUUAGUUGUUACAAUUACAAUUAUUUCGUAGAAAAAAUAGGGUGAAUGCUGUUAUGACAUUUGUUUUAUUUUUCUUGUUAUUAAAAUUUGAUUCACUGUGAAUCAUUUUUUUGCUACUUCUUUCCUUGUUACGGAUCAUGGGCUUCAAACCUUACUAUUGUAUCUAGCUAUACUAAAAGAUUUUUAACUACCACUUACCUAUGCUGUGUGUUUUAUUUUUCUUACCAUUUUGUUUCAGUGUACUUUAGAUGUUAAGGGAUUGACUUUAACGAUGUCAAGAAUGGACUCAACAACUUUGGAAACCAAAGCAUUUGAGAAGAUGGACAAGCUUAGAUUGCUUCAACUUUCUGGCGUACAACUUGAUGGAGAUUACAAAUAUCUUUCAAGACAUCUUAGGUGGCUUAGUUGGCAUGGAUUCCCCUUCAAAUUUACACCCGCAGACUUUCAUCAAGAUAGUCUAGUUGCUAUCGAGUUGAAAUAUUCCAAUCUGGAACGAGUGUGGAGGAAGUCUCAGGUAUAAAUUCAAUUUUUUUAGUGACCUUGUUAACUAACAUAAUUUCAACACUAAUCUUCAAUUUGGAAACAAUAAACUUGAAUUUAGUGUCUCACAGUCCUUAUUUUGUAUUUUCCAUAUGGAAAUAAAUUUAAUUAAAAAGGGAGUACAAAACAUCCUCGUCUAACAUAUAUAUGUAUAUCGAUGUAUCCAGAAGAAGGGGAGGAAAAAACAAAGUUACUGAUAGCACUGCAUAAUAAUUGACUACAAUAGACACAAAAACCAGCCGGAAAAAGAAUAGGAAAAAUCUGUUGUAGUCUCUGAUAUAUACUUGGAUAUUAGAAAAAAUCUUAUUGGUUAAUGUUAAGAAGUCCCACAUCGGUUGCGAUAUGGCCUGACUAAGUGUUUAUAAACUAGAGGCAAUUCUCACUUUUUAAGCCGGUUUUGUAAGGAUGAGUUAGGCCCGAUACUAAAUUUUAAGAGUUAAGAAUAAUUGUAACAUUUGAAUCCAUGAAAAUAUCUACUGGUAAUUCACCACUCCAUUUUUUUUUUUAUAAAAGUAGAAAUCGAGUGCAGAGGCACACAUCCUUUUAGAGAUAGCAAUUCUAGAGUCUAGACUUUGACUACUCAAUCUCAAUUUUAAGAAAAUAUCUUAAUUGACCCAAUUAUUUUGUUUCAAAAUGGUGAAAUAGGUGUUUGAUAUUGCUGAAUUUCAAUAUGCUAACUUGCUGUUAUGACAAUAUCAUCUAACAUAAACCAUAAGACAGACACAAACUAGAUGAAUACUUAUAAAUUACCGAGUAAUCCAUAUUCCAAAUUUCAUUAAGAUAAAGUUGAAUAGCUUAAGUCAAACCUACAAUUAUUUUUUAUGCAUAGAAAUCAAUCCUAACACUUCCUGGGCAACAAAUCCAAGAGUUUUCUCCAUAUAUAUAUGUCUUCAUUUAAGUCCCCAUGCAAGAAAAUAUUUUUUUGUCUUAUUGAUGUAAAUGCCUCUGAUAUAUGGCAUCCAUUUAUAGAACUUAGAUGAAUACUUUUUUUUUUUUGACAAAACUUAGAUGAAUACUUAAAAAUUACCGAGUAAUACAUAUCAUUCCAAAUUUCAUCAAGAUAAAGUUGAAUAGCUUAAGUCAAACCUACAAUGAUUUUUAUGCAUAGAAAUCAAUCCUGACACUUACUGGGCAACAAAUCCAAGAGUUUUCUCCAUAUAUAUAUAUGUCUUCAUUUAAGACUCGAUGCAGGAAAACAUUUUUUUGUUUAAUUGAUGUAAAUGCCUCUGAUAUAUGGCAUCCAUUUAUAGAACUUAGAAGGACUCGGAGUGAAACCUUUUUUUUUUUGUAACAGGACUCGGAAUUUCUUCUCUGAUAUAUGCCUUCACAUUUUAUUUUCUUGCAGUUGUUGGUGAAGCUGAAAAUUCUUAAUCUUAGUCAUUCUCACAACUUGAGACAUACACCAGACUUUUCGAACUUGCCAAAUCUUGAAAAGUUAAUACUUAGAGUGUGUUUGUUUCAAGGUUUGUAAUGUUAUUCCUGGGAAUAUGAGAUCUGGAAUGUAACAUUGCUAUGUUUGUUUCAAGUUUUGAAAAUUUGUNNNNNNNNNNNNNNNNNNNNNNNNNNNNNNNNNNNNNNNNNNNNNNNNNNNNNNNNNNNNNNNNNNNNNNNNNNNNCACAUGAGUAUGAAUGUUAUUCCUGGAAAUAAUAUUCCUAGGAAUAUCAUUCCAAGGAAUGCAAUUUCAUACCUUGAAACAAACACACCCUUAAGGAUUGUCCAAGUUUGUCUUCAGUUUCUUCUAGUAUAGGACAUCUCAAAAAAAUCCUGUUAAUAAAUUUGAAAGAUUGUACAGGCCUUUGUGAACUUCCAAGGAGCAUCUAUAAGUUAGACUCGGUGAAAACUCUCAUUCUAUCUGGAUGUACAAACAUUGUCAAGUUGGAAGAGGAUAUAGAACAAAUGAAAUCUUUAACCACACUGGUUGCGGAUAACACUGCUAUAACAAGAGUUCCCUUUGCAGUAGUAAGAUUAAAAAGCAUCGCAUAUAUUUCCCUUUGUGGCUAUGAGGGAUUCACACGUGAAGUGUUUCCUUCUAUUAUCCAGUCUUGGUUGUCUCCAACAAAUAGUAUCCUAUCCUUAGUUCAAACAUUUGCAGGAACUUCAUGUCUUGAUAUCACUGAUGAACAGAAUAAUAGUUUCUACUGUCUAUCAUCCAUUUUUGAAGACCUUCAGAAUCUUCAACGUCUUUGGUUGAAAUGUGAUUCAGAAGCUCAAUUAAAUCAAACUGUAGCAAGUAUUUUGGGUAGCUCCAACACACGAAAUUGUGAGGGAUUCUCAAACAUCGGGACUUCAGCAUCAAUUCAUUCCCGUAGUCAAGUUAGUAUGUCAAGCUCUAAAAAUUCUUUGACAUCCGUUUUGAUUCAAAUGGGAGUGAGCUGCAAUGUCGCCAACAUUCUUAGAGAAAAUAUUUUGCAGGUUCUCUUUUUCUCCUUCCCUUACACAACCCUCUCUAUAUUUGUUUUAUAUAUCACACACUUACACACACACACACACUCAAAGUUCAAUGCACAUGUCAAAGUUGGCAUACAUUGAAUGAAUCAUGUAUAUAAAAUUUAAAUAAUUUGUAGGUAAGUACCUCGAUAGUAUAUAUUUCCUCCCAACCGCACUCCGGAUUAUCAGAGCCCAUUUCCCCCGUAAAAUGUAUGGCUAAGACCAAAGAGUCACAAUAAUUUUGAUAUUCUUUAUGUUGGAUUACAUAUUUAAUCACCUUUGUUUAGAUUAUUUUUAUUUUCCUCGCUCAAGUGUUUAUGGUCAAUCAAAUCCCUCUAUAAAUUACUUGACUCAAACCCUUUUUUAUCCAAAAGCAAGAAAUUCAAUGAAAAUUUGAUAGUGUGCAAGAUUUUGUAUAAGUAACAUUAGAGUUUAAAGAUUUUGUAAAGUGUAUUCUUGAUAAUUAUUUUUUUUUAGAGUCUUGACCUUGUUUCUUCACAUACGUGAAUUGUACAGAAAAUUCCUCCCAUUGGGUCUGGUUUACUCCCGGGGAACAACUAUCCCGAUUGGCUAACCUUCAAUAGCAACGGUUCUUCUGUAACUUUCGAAGUACCUCAAGUGGAAGGGCGUUCUUUGAAGACAAUCAUGUGCAUUGCCCAUUCUUCUUCCCCAGACAAUACAACGACAGAAGGUUUCAAAGUUGUGUUGGUAAUAAAUUGCACAAAGAACACCAUUCAGGUCUACAAAAUAGGCGCAUUAUUAGCAUCUUUUGGUGAGGAUGAGUGGAAGAGAGUAAUAUCAAAUAUAGAACCCGGCAACAAAAUUAAGGUGAUUGUUGUUUUUACAAAUGAAUUCAUUGUGAAGAAAACAACAAUUUAUCUUGUAUAUGAUGAACCAAGUGAGGAAAAGACGAAUCACUGCCAUGAGUUAGAUGAGAAUGGAAUUGUUUCUAGUGGUGAUGAAAAUGUAAGUAUAAUAGUCUAAAUGCAUACUCUUUUUUGUAGAUUUGCUCUUUUUUCAUAUUGUUAGCAUGCUAGAUUUAUGAAUUGAAUUGACAUGUGAAUCAGUUGUGUCGCACAUAUAUGAUUGCUCGUGAUUAAACAAUUUACAGACGUUGCUUUUUGUAUCAAUCCUCUUAAAAUAUUCACACUUGGAAUCUUUAUGAUCUUGUAAUUUAAUUUUAUGAUGUUACUUUAUACGGUUCACUUAUCACAACUUUCAUUAUGUUUAUGGGUUUAGAUAUUUGGCAGACUCUUCUUCGCUAUUCCUUCCCUUUCUCGGACUGUUCUGACUUCACGGCCUUUCUGGUUCUGUUUGGCUGGUAUUAUGGUUUGGUCGUCUCGCCGCCGUUCUGAAAAACGAAGAAGAGACAACCCUAUUCUAAGGUACAAAACUAUAUUUUUUGCUUCUGUAGAACACUUUUUAACAAACAUUACUUUUUGUUUUGUCAACUAUUUAAGCUUUCCCAUAAAGCUAUCAUUAGUAAAAGGCCAUCAUCCAUUUAAUUUGUCCUGGACAUUUUCUUUAGUUCCCUCUAAACAGUAACUUUGAAUUUAGAUCGCGAAUAAUAUAUUUCUCCUUGUGAAUCAAAAUUUCAUCAUAUUGUACAUGUCUCACACUAAAUAGGGAACAAUAUCGAUAUGAUUUAGUUGGAUCCACAUGAAUUUCAUCCAAUGGUAAAAUGUGUGUUGGUAGUAAAAUGAAGCCUUGUUUGAAUUAUGAUUUUGUGGCUAAUAUAUAUUAAUUUGCGAUACUUUCUGCCAUUGCACUGAUUUGUGCGAAAUAGGGAAGUAGCAUCCAUGAGCUCUCAAGGACUCAAUAUUCCAGAAUCUUUGGAGAAAAACCCUUUGGUUGAUGUCAACUAGUGAAGAGACAAGGUUAAAAGAGGUACUUGAUUCCGGUCAACAUGAAUUGGUUCCAAUAUAUAAUUUCAAAUUCCUGAAUCCAUAGGACGAGGAUGCAAAACCAGAGGAGAAAGCAGAAAUGACCGAAGUCAAGGAUCAACAAUAAAGGGAUGAGAAGUUAAAAGGGUAAUGUUCUCCCAAGCCAAAUCAAUCCUAGAUGCGUGUCUUUCUUUUAUCUUGAUUUCAUUUGUGUUGAAAGGCGAAAAGGUUGUUAUCUGUAGUUCAUUGUAUAUAUGGUUGUUGAAAAAUAUCACAUCAUUUGAAGAGUAUGGCAUAUUGGAUUCUUCAUUAGUUCAUCUCAAGAUGUAACACCUUUCCAUGCCACCAGCAUGUAAUUGUAAGGCAAAGAGAAACCUCAAAUCUCAAAUCAUUUAGUGAAUGAAUAAUGCAUACCAAAAUUCUGUAUCAAUCUGAAUCUCAAGCAAAGGGGAACUUCAAGAAUUUGAGAUUAAACUUUGUUCCUAAACCAUCAAACAAUGUUCAGAAAUUAGACCAUAUAUAAGUUUCAAUCAUAUAUUAUUUUUUGUUUCCUUAACUAGUGCUCUCAGAGCUUGUAUUUUCCAUAUAUACAAGUCUUUGAAUCUCUAUAUAGAGCUUGUAUAGGAUUAAUGUUACUUGUAAUGUAAUUCAUUGCAAAGCCUUGUACAUAUAUUUUUAUCUUCAUCUUGAUCUUGAAUAUAAUCGUAUGCUUCCACUUAGUCAAGCAGUUUUUNNNNNNNNNNNNNNNNNNNNNNNNNNNNNNNNNNNNNNNNNNNNNNAGCAGUAGAAGUUUUAUUUAACACAAGUUGCAAAGGAGAAACUAAACAUGUAACUUGAAUAUGUUUAAAAGGUCACAGGGCUACCACUAAAAUUGAAAGUUAUUCUAAUCUUUGUGUCUACUUCUAUUUCACCAUUUACAAACAAUGGAUUAAUAAAAUCAUCAUCCAAAAGGUAAUAUGAUAAGGUGAAACAAAAUUAAUUAGGACUCCAUCUUCACUAUCUACAAACUAUAGUAUAAUAUUGAUAUAUGGAAUAGUUCACAUGGUAUAAAAGAAAAACAGAGAAACCUCCUUUAUAUUAUGAAUUCUUUACCUCCUUUAUAUUAUGAAUUCUUUCAUUUUUAAUAUACAAAAUUGCACUUAUUUGAAAAACAACAUCACAACUUCACUAGGACUUUUAUUUGAUGAAUUAGGUACUUCCCAAAGACUUCUACCAAUUACCACUAUGUCAGACUUACAAAGCAAUCAAAUAUGCAGAAUCAAAAGCAUAUACUCUACUUCUAUCCAUAAUGUUUUCACAAUCCAGUCAAACAAAUUACACACCAGCAUUGAACUUUAUCUUCUUUACAAUAUUCCAAAAUGAAUCCUUCCCACAUCCAUCAUCAUCAUCAUCAUCAUCAUCAUCAUCAUCAUGUAUAGUCGGUCACCUUAAUCGUACCUUGUGUGCAUGAUAAAAAUUGUACAAUUUCAUUCAGGAAAAGAACAAGAAAAAUAAAAAGAAUCAGGAUGCAGUGAUGUUAAAGGGAUCAAGAUCAUACCUGAAUGCAAUUCAAGACGAAUCCCCUUCGGUGGAACUAUUGUAGACAAAGAUGCAAACCUUAUGAACAAAACUGUAGACAUUCUACAAACAUAACUUUUAUGAACAAAUUUACAAAACUUCUACCACUAUUCCACUACAAUUUCUUCUUCUUUAUUCUCAUAAUAUUCUGGUCAAUUAUCCUGUAUACUUUUUUACAAGACACAACAAAAAAUUGCUUGACAAGACCCCAACCCCACACUAAUAUCAUAUGAGUAUAACAAAAUGACAGUAUGAUUAGAACAAGAAGACCCGAGUACAAAAACCAGAAUUGUGUCCUGAGCAUAGGUAAAGAUUCGUCCUCUGUCCUAAUUGUCCCAUAAGGUGUGAUCUUAACCUUGAAUGGUGAUCCGACCAUUGCCAAUCUCAUAAAACGAUUUCUCAUAAGUGUGAAGAUGAGUGCUUCUGUUUCAUAAAAUCCAGAAAAUAAUGGCCCAUCAAUUUGAACAAUAGAUGCCUUCAAUUUCCCAUAAUGUUUAUUCAAGCUCAUAGCAUCUUGCUCUAUCCUCCUCAUUAACUCUUCAAAUUCAGGCUCAUGGUAUCCUUCCUCCAAGGAUUCUUCAAUGCUAGAGCUCGAAGCUUCCUCCUCAAAUUCAGGAUGGCAUUUCAAUACAAGGAUAGUGGCUGAGGUUUCAGUGGUUGUGCCAACUCGAAAUGGAAAAUCAUUAAACCUACUCAACACUGAUUCGAAAACUGGAUCUCCCAAUUUUAUGUCUAUGUUUCCCCAGUAGCGAUGGCUUGUUCCCAGCAUAAUACUAGUGUACACUAAAACAAUAGGCAUUCUGAUGUUCAAGGUGUUUUCCAAUUCUACAUAUGCUGUCAAUAAGUUUUCCACAAAUCUGUCUUCCAAUUGAUAACAUUCAUGUUCAGCAAUAUGUUUUGGUACAUUCUCUUUUACCAUCUCUAAUACCUGAACCACAUCUGCUACAGAAUCUUCAUGGUCUUGCUUUAAACUUGCCCCACACAGAGAGGAGGAAGCCUCAUCUGUAAUUUCAGCCUUGGUAUUUCUCAAACAGCGGCGAAUCACUUUGAAAAAAAUGUCUUCAACGUCUGAUUGUCGCCCAAUGGAAUCUGCAUUCAAAAUGUCUGUAAAUUUGAAACUGUUCAAAAUAUGUUUCAUGUACAGCUCAUAAGAUCUAUGUUGAACUGAAUAUGAUGAUAGCAUAUGGGAAAACGAGUUGAUCAGAUUGGGAGGUAUGAAUUGUAUAUUAUCCAUGCUUGUUUCUUGCUUGUACACAUAAACUCCCCAAUUAGUCAGAAUCAAUUCUUGCUUCAUGUUUGGAACGCAUUGAACCUGAAUUGUCUUCCAGUCAUCUCCAAGACUUGCAUCAAGGUUCUGCCACUCUUCAUCACUAAACAAAACUCGUAGAUCACACAAUAUCACAUGAUCUUCCCCAAUAUUGAAAUAAUGGAAAUCCCUGCUACAAAUUUCUUUGCCAUCAAUAAACAAAUGGAGGCUAACAAUGUAAAAUUUCUUGAUUCCAGUUGACAAUCUUAUUUCAUCACUAAAUGAAGGAAAAUUGUCUGUCGUAUUUUUUACUUCCUGGAAAACUAAUGCUAAAGCAACAAUGGGAAACUUCCUGCGAGCCCAAAAAAUCGGAAUUCCUUGAGAGUAACUACAGUCAAACCAUUCUGGAAUCUCCCUUUUCAGCAUUGGCAUGACAACUUGAAUUCUUUGGAUCUCUAGUGGAACCUGUAAUGCAUAAACAAAAGACAUUAGUGUGUUUGCGUCAAAAUACUACUUACAGAUCGACAAAAUCUUGUAUUAUGUAAAUAAUGGAGAAAGAAGUAAACCUUUGACCAGAGCAAACUUGAUGCCUCUGAUGUUAAGGAUGGACAAUGUCUUGCAUCUAUUUUCUGAAUACUUAAUGGAAGUUCUGGAAUUUCUGUGAGAUUAUUGCAAAAGCUCACAUCAAGACUUUUCAAGUGCAAAGAACCUCUGAUGCACUUUGGAAGGGCUAUUAACUCACUGUGUGAUACUUUCAAGUCUGUUAGUUUUGGAAAACAUUCAAUAAUGGCAUCAACAUCGUCAUAUGAUAGAUUUGCCUCGCUAAAAUGAAGUGUUUCUAAAUUUGGAUAACCAUUUGCCCUUGAAUGGUGAUCUUUGAACCUUUGAAAUGAUGCCCCAAGUUGCGAGCAUCCAACACAUUUCAAAGAGAGCAGUUUUGGAAGCAGUAAGAAGCUACUCGAUAGAUCUUUGAUCUUUUUGCAAUGUGACAUGUCUAUAUAUUGAAGCCCUGUAAGGUUACCAAUAGACUUUGGAAACUCCUUAACGGCAGUAUUUAUCAUGUGAAUCUUUAACGGCUUAUCCAUCUUUUGCAUUACAUGUGGGAAGUAUUCCAACUUUUCGCAGAAAUUAA